This 460-nucleotide ribosomal RNA is filed under the name uncultured bacterium. RNAcentral describes it as "partial 16S ribosomal RNA". It matches the Rfam family "Bacterial small subunit ribosomal RNA", at positions 338 to 795 of the family's 1533-position model. The record is from RNAcentral.
CCUACGGGAGGCAGCAGUGAGGAAUAUUGGUCAAUGGACGAGAGUCUGAACCAGCCAAAUAGCGUGAAGGAUGACUGCCCUAUGGGUUGUAAACUUCUUUUAUAUGGGAAUAAAACGUUCCACGUGUGGGAUUUUGUAUGUACCAUAUGAAUAAGGAUCGGCUAACUCCGUGCCAGCAGCCGCGGUAAUACGGAGGAUCCGAGCGUUAUCCGGAUUUAUUGGGUUUAAAGGGAGCGUAGAUGGAUUGUUAAGUCAGUUGUGAAAGUUUGCGGCUCAACCGUAAAAUUGCAGUUGAAACUGGCAGUCUUGAGUACAGUAGAGGUGGGCGGAAUUCGUGGUAUAGCGGUGAAAUGCUUAGAUAUCACGAAGAACUCCGAUUGCGAAGGCAGUUCACUGGACUGCAACUGACACUGAGGCUCGAAAGUGUGGGUAUCAAACAGGAUUAGAUACCCUUGUAGUC